AGAAUGAACGUUGGCGGCGUGGAUUAGGCAUGCAAGUCGUACGGGCCGCAAGGCCAGUGGCGCAAGGGUGAGUAAGGCGACGGUAACCAACCCCGCGAUCGGGUAUAGCCGCGGGAAACCGCGGGUAAUCCCCGGCGACGUCCGGAGGGGGCAUCCCUUCCGGACCAAAGCCCCGGCGUCGCGGGACGGGCUGUCGUGGUAUUAGCUUGUUGGCGGGGUAACGGCCCACCAAGGCUUUGAUGCCUACCGGGCGUGCGAGCGUGGCCCGGCACACUGGGACUGAGACACUGCCCAGACUCCUACGGGAGGCUGCAGUCGAGAAUCUUCGGCAAUGCACGAAAGUGUGACGGAGCGACGCCGCGUGUGGGACGAAGCCCUUCGGGGGUGUAAACCACUGUCAGGGGAUAGAAAGUUCUGAUCAUCCCAGAGGAGGCACGGCUAACUCUGUGCCAGCAGCCGC
This 460-nucleotide ribosomal RNA is filed under the name uncultured bacterium. RNAcentral's name for it is "SSU rRNA". It matches the Rfam family "Bacterial small subunit ribosomal RNA", at positions 26 to 518 of the family's 1533-position model. The record is from RNAcentral.